Molecule: ribosomal RNA, 504 nt
Filed under: uncultured bacterium
Lineage: Bacteria
Description: partial 16S rRNA
Source: RNAcentral
GCACAGAGUUAGCCGGUGCUUCCUUUGAAGGUACCGUCACUUCCCGAGGCUGUUAACCCCGAAAACGUUCGUUCCCUCCGACAGAGCUUUACGACCCGAAGGCCUUCAUCACUCACGCGGCGUUGCUGCGUCAGGCUUUCGCCCAUUGCGCAAUAUUCCCCACUGCUGCCUCCCGUAGGAGUCUGGACCGUGUCUCAGUUCCAGUGUGGCUGAUCAUCCUCUCAGACCAGCUAACCAUCUUUGCCUUGGUAGGCCGUUACCCUACCAACUAGCUAAUGGUGCGCAGGCCCAUCUCCAAGUGAUAGCUUAUAAAUAGAGGCUACCUUUGACCCCUGCUUCCGAGGAAACUGUGGUCUUAUCCGGUAUUAGCCCAUCUUUCGACGGGUUAUCCCAAUCUUGGAGGCAGGUUACCUACGUGUUACUCACCCGUGCGCCACUUUACUCAGGGCCGAAGCCCCUUUCUCGUUCGACUUGCAUGUGUUAGGCACGCCGCCAGCGUUCGUU